This is an RNA transcript of Pundamilia nyererei, 2883 nucleotides long. It is a transcript of the gene named Kruppel like factor 8, with no coding region annotated. The record is from RefSeq and is a predicted model, not a curated record. Lineage: Eukaryota; Metazoa; Chordata; Actinopteri; Cichliformes; Cichlidae. The transcript is spliced from 8 exons.
GUGCUUCUGCAGCAGCUCCUCUUGCACUGCCCGCCCGCCCGCUGCCGGUGUCGGGUAGCCGGCAGAGCGGCCCCGCUCCUCUGCAGGGCUGCAGGGCUGCGCAGCUCCUGACUGACAGAGAGAUGAGGGGUGGGGACGCAGGGUGGGGUCACAAGCAGGGAGAGGCGGAGGAGGAAAAGGCAGAGAGAGAGAGCCCAGCCCUUGAAUACACGGCAACAACACGCCGACAGAGAGAGAGAGGGAGAGACACAGAGAGACUGGCUGUUUUUUUUUUUGUUUUUUGGGGGGGUAAAAGCACAGGGAGCCUUCGACGCCGCGGAUAUGAACUGAAAAGAAACACUGGAAGAGGCAGGGAUCGUGUUCCUAUAUCCCGAAAUAUUUGACUGUAAAGGUGGAAAACUAGCACCCCCCAAAAAGCCCUCCUCUCUCUCCCUGACAGUUCUGAUUCAGAUAGAGCUACACCCAAAGCCCCGACCGACCCCCUCCUGCUCCUGCUGCUCCACCCCUCCGCCGCUGCACCGCUCCGGCAACCGAGAUGCACACGGAGACCCGUAACAAGAAAUGUCAGUCAACUCCAAAGCAGAAGAAGAGUGCGGUCAGUGCCCGGAAGAGGCUGAGGAGCCCGGCCAAGCAGAGCUCCUUGACCCAGCAAGAACCGCCACCUUCUUCAUCACCUCUGCCGCCCACAGUCCAGGAAGAGGAGGAGAAGAAAGAAGAGCCCGCGACCAGGCCACGGCCAACGCAGGGAGAAGAGGAGGAGCUGAAGGAAGUGGCGACACAGUCUGUGAGGGUGAAAGAGGAAGAAAAGAAAGCAGAGGAGGAGGGCGAGAAAGACAUGCCCUCUGUACAGAUCAAACCAGAGCCAGAGGAGAUGGAGUGCACGCAGGCAGAUAUAGGUGAUGACGGCUCACAGCCGAAAGACCUGAAGGUGAAGAAGGAGUGCAAGACGGAGCCCUCCUCGCCUCAUCCGAGCCCCACUGAGGACCAGACUGAGCCCGUUGACCUUUCGCUCAACAAACCUCGCUCCGCUUCGACAACGAGCACCACAGUCAACCCAGCUCCCAGCAGCGCUGUGACCCAGCCCAGCCUGUCAGCCACACCUGUCCCCUCUGCGGUACAAUCGAUAGGCUCCAUGGUCCUCUCUCCAGGAUCCAUCUUAGCCACGCAGGGCGCUGGAGGCCAGCAGAUUCUCCACGUUAUCCAUACAAUCCCCUCAGUGACCAUGCCCAGCAAGGUGGGUCAGCUGCAGACCAUCCCUGUGGUGGUGCAGUCGCUGCCUGUUGUCUACACCACCAUGCCUACUGACGGUGUCGCCACAGCAGCCAUUACGGUGCCGCUGAUAGGCAGUGAUGGGCGCUCUGAAGGAUCUGUUCGGAUCAAGCCAGGUUCAACAUCUCCAGUGGAAUAUCAAAGUGAAAGCGAUGCAGAGAGCGGUACAGAGUCUGGAUCGGCUUCCAUCAGCGCCCAGAGCCUUGAUGCGGGGUCGGUUAUGGACUUGGAGCCCGUCGAUCCAGAUUCGCCAGACAUCAAGAGGCGGCGGAUCCACAUGUGCGACUACGAAGGCUGCAAAAAAGUUUACACCAAGAGCUCCCACCUCAAAGCCCACAGGAGGAUACACACAGGAGAGAAGCCCUACCACUGUACCUGGGAAGGCUGCACCUGGCGCUUCGCCCGCUCCGACGAGCUGACCCGACACUUUCGCAAGCACACCGGAAUCAAACCCUUCCGCUGCACCGAAUGCGACCGCUCCUUCUCCCGGUCUGACCACCUCUCUCUGCACCGCCGCCGCCACGUGAUGAUGUGAACUCUGACUUCCUUCCUUCCUCUCCCCUGACGCCCCCAGCUCCCUAUCAAACUGACCUCUGACCCUUUGAUUUCUCAAAAGCCCCUCACAGCACAUCUUGUACCAGUGCCCCCACACCUCACACGAUACUUCCUGUUUCCUCUCUGCUCUCCUGCGGGAUUUUAAACCCACCUUGCAAAUAGAAAAAAAAAAGGACUUUACCUUUUCCUCCUCUUCCUCCUCAUCUUCAUCUCACAGUCAUAGGACAAUUGUGUCUGUGUGUUUGUUCGGUGGUGGCAGCAGGAUGUUUUUUGCUGCGUGUGUGUGUCUGUCAUCAUUACCGUCCAGCCCAAAGCAGUCCUCUCUACCAUCCUCCGACUCAGUCACACAAGAUGUUGCCUCCUCAGAAAGAGAAAGGAUGGACUGAAGGACAUCCAGCAGCAGGGACUUUCAUGCUUCCAUCCAUCCAUUACAUGCAUCAGUCCAUCCAAAAGGCAAAGAGGAAGAGGAGGGCUCACACAGAUGUCACUUCAGCUGCUCUUUUCUUGAUUUACAGUUUUUAUUUUGUUCAUAUCCUGAGUUUGGAAUCUACGUGACUCCAAAAUUUAUUUUCUUGGAAGCUAAAGAGACUUCCGAGGACGCCGCUUCCCGCCACUGCUUUUCCAGGAAAAGUUGUUUUUGAGAACUUUGAGUUUCGUUCCACCCCAGUUAUAUUUGCCUGAGGCAAAUGUGAUCUUACUGAGUGACCUUUUGAUCAAAUAACAGCAGCUGAAGUGACGUCAGAUGCAUCAGCAUGUCUGAGGCUAAAACACUGCGCCCCACCCUCCCAUCGCCAUUCGCCUCCUUCUGCCCUAAACCCCCGCCACCUCCCCCGGUACAGGGAGCUACAAGACUGUGAAUUUAAUAAAACUUCAUUUGUUUUCAUUGUAUUGAUCUAUCGAUCACGUGGUUGUUAUCGCCCCCCGCCCCCUCCCCCGCCGCACACACCUUUCCGAUUCCUCUUGAAUAACAGUAUUUGCUUUGUUUGCGCCGUCGUCGCUGUUGUUUUAUCAGAAAAACACAAAAAAAGGCCUUUAGUCCUGUCUACAUUUUUUCUUUUC